This 375-nucleotide ribosomal RNA is filed under the name uncultured bacterium. RNAcentral describes it as "bacterial SSU rRNA". It matches the Rfam family "Bacterial small subunit ribosomal RNA", at positions 521 to 896 of the family's 1533-position model. The record is from RNAcentral.
UAAUACGAACUGUGCAAACGUUAUUCGGAAUCACUGGGCUUAAAGGGUGCGUAGGCGGUCGCACAAGUCAGGUGUGAAAUCCCCCGGCUCAACCGGGGAACAGCGCUUGAAACUAGGUGACUUGAGUGAGGUAAGGGUACGCGGAACUUCUGGUGGAGCGGUGAAAUGUGUAGAUAUCAGAAGGAACGCCGGUGGCGAAAGCGGCGUACUGGGCCUUGUCUGACGCUGAGGCACGAAAGCUAGGGAAGUGAACGGGAUUAGAUACCCCGGUAAUCCUAGCCGUAAACACUGAGCACUGGAGGGGAGGGGCUUCGGCCUUUUCCCUCGUAGCGAAAGCGUUAAGUGCUCCGCCUGGGGAGUAUGGUCGCAAGGCUG